RNAcentral lists this ribosomal RNA (884 nucleotides) under uncultured bacterium. Its description in RNAcentral is "bacterial SSU rRNA". It matches the Rfam family "Bacterial small subunit ribosomal RNA", at positions 617 to 1502 of the family's 1533-position model. The record is from RNAcentral.
GGAACUGCAUCCAAAACUAACUCACUAGAGUACGAUAGAGGGAGGUAGAAUUCAUAGUGUAGCGGUGGAAUGCGUAGAUAUUAUGAAGAAUACCAGUGGCGAAGGCGGCCUCCUGGAUCUGUACUGACACUAAGGUGCGAAAGCGUGGGUAGCGAACAGGAUUAGAUACCCUGGUAGUCCACGCCGUAAACGAUGACAACUAGCUGUUGGGAGACAAUGUCUUUCAGUGGCGCAGCUAACGUUUUAAGUUGUCCGCCUGGGGAGUACGGCCGCAAGGCUAAAACUCAAAUGAAUUGACGGGGACCCGCACAAGCGGUGGAGCAUGUGGUUUAAUUCGAUGCAACGCGAAAAACCUUACCUACUCUUGACAUACUUGGAAGCUCUUGUAAUGAGAGUGUGCCUUUUGGAGCCAAGAUACAGGUGCUGCAUGGCUGUCGUCAGCUCGUGUCGUGAGAUGUUCCGUUAAGUCGGAUAACGAGCGCAACCCUUACCCUUAUUUGCCAGCGAUUCGGUCGGGAACUAUAAGGGGACUGCCGGUGAUAAACCGGAGGAAGGUGAGGACGACGUCAAGUCAUCAUGGCCCUUACGAGUAGGGCUACACACGUGCUACAAUGGGGAAUACAGACGGACGCUAAGCCGCGAGGUGGUGCUAAUCCUAUAAAGUUCUUCGUAGUCCGGAUUGGAGUCUGCAACUCGACUCCAUGAAGUCGGAAUCGCUAGUAAUCGCGAAUCAGCAUGUCGCGGUGAAUACGUUCUCGGGUCUUGUACACACCGCCCGUCACACCAUGGAAGUGGAUUGCACCAGAAGUAGAUAGUCUAACCUUCGGGAGGGCGUUUACCACGGUGUGCUCCAUGACUGGGGUGAAGUCGUAACAAGGUAGCCG